CAAAGAACAGAAGCAAACCAAAGAGCAAACAUGAAGGCUAAGCUCCUUAUUCUUAUCGCUCUCGUCGCUGCCUGUGUCUCGACAACUGAAGCCUGCAUGGGGAAGGCUCCAGAUUAUGACUGGCUGGAAGAUAGGUCUCUGAAAGAAGAGUGCCCGUCCGUCAGUAACUGCACAAGCGACGCUGACUGUGGCAAGUGCAAAUGUGUGCCAAAUAGCGGCACCAAUAAAGGCUACUGUGUAUUUCUUCCGAACGAAUAAUACUCAAUAAAACUUGUGCUGAUUUUUCAAGUCG
Molecule: non-coding RNA, 292 nt
Organism: Dermacentor andersoni
Lineage: Eukaryota; Metazoa; Arthropoda; Arachnida; Ixodida; Ixodidae
Source: RefSeq, a predicted model, not a curated record